UGGGGAAUUUUCCGCAAUGGGCGAAAGCCUGACGGAGCAACGCCGCGUGAGGGAUGAAGGCCUCUGGGCUGUAAACCUCUUUUCUCAAGGAAGAAGAUACUGACGGUACUUGAGGAAUAAGCCACGGCUAAUUCCGUG
RNAcentral lists this ribosomal RNA (138 nucleotides) under uncultured bacterium. RNAcentral describes it as "partial 16S ribosomal RNA". It matches the Rfam family "Bacterial small subunit ribosomal RNA", at positions 355 to 507 of the family's 1533-position model. The record is from RNAcentral.